CCUACGGGAGGCAGCAGUGAGGAAUAUUGGUCAAUGGGCGCGAGCCUGAACCAGCCAAGUAGCGUGAAGGAUGACUGCCCUACGGGUUGUAAACUUCUUUUAUAAAGGAAUAAAGUGAGGCACGUGUGCCUUGUUGUAUGUACUUUAUGAAUAAGGAUCGGCUAACUCCGUGCCAGCAGCCGCGGUAAUACGGAGGAUGCGAGCGUUAUCCGGAUUUAUUGGGUUUAAGGGGAGCGUAGAUGGGUUGUUAAGUCAGUUGUGAAAGUUUGCGGCUCAACCGUAAAAUUGCAGUUGAUACUGGCGGCCUUGAGUACAGUUGAGGUAGGCGGAAUUCGUGGUGUAGCGGUGAAAUGCUUAGAUAUCACGAAGAACUCCGAUGGCGAAGGCAGGCGAC
RNAcentral lists this ribosomal RNA (394 nucleotides) under uncultured bacterium. Its description in RNAcentral is "partial 16S ribosomal RNA". It matches the Rfam family "Bacterial small subunit ribosomal RNA", at positions 338 to 729 of the family's 1533-position model. The record is from RNAcentral.